This 94-nucleotide transfer RNA is filed under the name Maridesulfovibrio ferrireducens. Its description in RNAcentral is "tRNA-Sec". It matches the Rfam family "Selenocysteine transfer RNA". RNAcentral also lists the same sequence under 2 other names. Lineage: Bacteria; Pseudomonadati; Thermodesulfobacteriota; Desulfovibrionia; Desulfovibrionales; Desulfovibrionaceae. The record is from RNAcentral.
GGAAGUGUUUCGUCACCGGUGUGGCGCCUGGACUUCAAAUCCAGUGGACGGGCUAACCCUCGUCGGUAGGUUCGACUCCUAUACACUUCCGCCA